Oenanthe melanoleuca is the source of this 4232-nucleotide long non-coding RNA. RefSeq lists it as uncharacterized. The transcript has 3 exons. Lineage: Eukaryota; Metazoa; Chordata; Aves; Passeriformes; Muscicapidae. The record is from RefSeq and is a predicted model, not a curated record.
AUUCCCACCACAGAAUGUAACCAGCUGUUACACUUUUACUAAUAGAAAACUAGCAAAAAAGGUAAGAAACAGAUAAUUGCAACAACUUGAAGAAAACAAUUUUGAAAAAAAAAAUUAAGGAGUUGAUGCAGCCUUCUGAAUAUAUUUGUUCAAAUCCCAGUAAGUAGCAAAGCAAUUUGUUUCUUCAUAACAGGACUAAACAGCUUUGUGGAUGGGAUAAAGUAUUUAAAAUAUAUUUUUUCCUCAGUGUUUUCCUAUUGGCUAGCUUAGAUCAUUGGCUGCCUACAUUGCUUUUUCGGCUAUCCCAGUCUUAAAAUGUCCACUUUUUCUCAUGAAAGUUCCAGGGCCUGUAGAGCCCAGCAGGGCAUCUAGAUGUCUUAAAAAUUGGGUGUUGAAAUAUUCUCUAUCAUGAUAUCAGGCUUGCUUUUAGAAAAACUUAGCCGUAAAGAUCACUUUUUACAUCUAAGGUAACUGAUGAGCAUAUUGUUUGUACAGAGUAGCAGAGGUCAAAUUGCUUACAUCAAAGAUAUGUCAUACAGGGAGGCCUCAUAAAGGGUGCAGGUGGAGAUGAAGAAUGUUGACCCUUUUUGUUCUGUACCUUUUCUAAUUGAGGUACAAAUGUCCAGAUCUUGCCUAAACUUGGAGCCACGAGACAGCUGGAUGUGCAGUUUGAUCUGAGCAAGUGGAAAACCACCAGCUACGUAUGACCUGGGAGACCUAAGAAAAAGGACUAGAUGUCCUCUUGUCUUCUGUUCUACCUCCAGGGUUUCACUCCAUUGCUGAAGAAUAGCUACUACAAAUUCUGAGAUAUCUUCAGAGGAUUGUUUGACCCUUAAUAAUACUGGUAAGACCUCAGAGUUGAAGGACCACAACUACAGGAACAGUGACUCUCCAUUGUGCACAAAAAUUUUAAGUGGCCAGUCAGCUGUAUCACCUGAUUGUUCAUAAGAUCAUGAGAUCUGGUGAGAUUGAUCCCAGAAUACUGCAGGAGCUGUUGGAUGUGACAGCAGGACCCCACUGAAAAAGUCAUGGGUGUCUCUGGGGAGGUGCCUGCUGGCUGGAAGCUGGCCAGUCGUUACAAUUUAGAAAGGUGUGAGGGAAGACACAGGAAACUGCAGAUCUGUGCGUCUAACCUCAGUUCAUGGAAAAAUUACGGAGAAGAUACUACUGGUCAUAAAAGGUAUUUCAAGGAAAUACAAGCAUCAGGCACAGCAUGGGAUCACAAAGAAAAGCCCUUUGUGACUAAUCUGAGAUGCUUCUACAAUUUGAUCACCUGCUUAGUGGGUAAAAUGACAGAGAUGGAUGUGGUUCUCCUGGAUUUUCAUAAUGCUUUUGAUACUGUUCUUUAGAGCAUCCUUUGGGACAAGUUGUCCAGCUGUGAGAUGAGCAGGUGCACACUGUGCUGCAUGAAGAACUGGCCUGUUGACAUUCAAAAGCAUUUCCUUACUGAGAGGGUGGUUGCACACUUGGAAAGACUCCCUAAAAAGGUGGUUGAUGUCCCAUACCUGGUGGCACCUUAAAAGGAGGCAUUUGGACAAUGCCUUUAAUAAUGGGCUUUAACUGUUGGUCAGCUGUUGUCAGGCAGCAGCAGUAGAUAAAUGUGGUAUGCCCCUGCCAAGUGGAACUAUUCUCUCCUAGUUAAAAAUUUGUGAAACCUGAACCAAAUGCAACCAGAAAGUAAAUCCUUCUCAAAACUGUUGAUCCUUUGGGGAUCUUUGCUAUGUUUCCUACUGUCAAUACUUUUCCCUCCAGGACUUCAGCCAGCAUCUGUUCAUGGGCUUGUGCCACUGAGGAUUUGAAGGCCUGGGCAACUCACUUCAGUGCUUCGUGAUUCUUACAGCAGUUUUAGUUUUAUUCCUUAUUUCCAGUUUGAAACUCUCGAGUUUCAGGAGAUGCCACCAUCUCUCACCCUCCCUUGAAUCUAUUCCCACCCUUUUGUUGGGGGAUGUCCCCAUCCUUAGAAACACCAGGCUGUGCUGUAAAAUGUCCCAAUACCUUGUCUGCUCCAUGUUGAACCAGACCCAGCUUCAUAAAGCAUCCUUGCUUUGAAGGAUGGAGCCUCUUUUAUUAGUCAGUCUGACUCCAGGACGCCAAAGAGGGUGCAGUGCCUGGAUGAGGUCUGAUGCAUACUGAGCAGAGCACCCUAGUUCCUUCCAGCUAGAGACAACAAAGAUAGGAGAAUACAAGCCGGAGCAAGCCAAGUGCUGCCUGUGAUGCAUUGUGAGACGAGAGCCCAACGGGCUGGCCAGCAGUGUGAAGAGUGUGGACAGCCUGUGGGAUUUUGUCCUGCCGCCUCCCAGGGAGGCAAAACUUGUUGCUGAGUGAGCCCUCAUGCUUCAUGUGCCUGGAGAUGUCUGUCAUGGCCAGAGCAAACUGGCAGGACUCUGAAAAGGCACAGCCAAGGCCUCAGUGACUGUCUUGUAACAUCAAUGUGAGUAUAAGAUGACAAGAUAGGAAAUGGAGUGUCAUUUAACCCCAGAUGCAUGUGCUGCAUGUACAGUGUACAGACGGUGUACCAUCUGUACCAUCUGUUGAUGGCCCAUUGUGAUAUCACCUAGAGAUGGAUUGUGAUCGCUUUGAGGGCUGGAUUGUGACCCAGCAUCCCUCCCUGCUUACGGCUGAGCACCAAGUUUCACCCAGCCAGCUCAUGCCCAGACACAUCUGAAGAACAGGAUGCCAUCCAGAAGGACCUAGACGGGCUCCUGAAAUGAGCCCAUGGAACUCUCAUGAGGUUUAACAAGACCAAGUGCAAGGUGCUUCAACUGGGUCGAGACAACCUCUGGUCCCAGCCCAGGCUGGGGAUGAACAGAUCAGAGCAGCCCUGUGAGAAGGACUUGGGGGUGCUGUGGGUGAGAGGCUGGACAUGACCCAGCCAUGGGCACUCCCAGCCCAGAAACCAAACGUGUCCUGGGCUGCAUCCAGAGCAGCGUGGGCAGCAGGGGAGGGAGGGGAUUCUGCCCCUCUGCUCUGCUCUGUGAGACCCCAGCUGGAACCCUGCAUCCAGCCCAGGGGUCCCAGCACAGGAAGGACAUGGAACUGCUGGAGUGAGUCCAGAGGAGCCAUGAAUAUGAUUAGAGGGAUUGAGUACCUUUCCAGUGAAAAAAGCCUGAGGGAAUUAGUGUUGAUUAGCCUGGAAAAGAGAUGGCUUUGGAGUGACUAUCACAGCCUUCCAGCACCUGAAGGAAACCUACACCAAAGAUGAGGCAAGACUAUUUACAGGGCAUAUAGUCACAGGACAAGAUGGAAUGGGUUCAAAUUGAAAGAGAGUAGGUUUAGAUUAGAUAUUAGGAAGUAAUUAUUUACUGUUAGGAUGUGAGGCACUGGAACAGGUUGCCCAGGAAAGUUGUGCAUGUUGUGGAUGUUGUCCCUGGAGCUGUUUGAGACCAGGUUGGAGGGGGCUCUCAGUAACCUGAUGUAGUUGAAGGUGCCCCUGACCAUAGCAGGAGGGUUGAAACCAAAUGAUCAUGAAGGUCCCUGUCCAACCUAUAUCAUUCUAUGAACCUGUGACUCCUGCUAAGCGUUUGGCAACGUUUGGAGGGCUGAGUGAGGCCUUUGGUGUUGUCAUUGUCCAAGGAGAGUUUUGUUGCAGCUCUCUGUGUUCACCUCCAGAGUCACUGAAGGAUUUUCCCCCUGCCUGCCAGGUUCAGGCAUCCGGGACACCCAGGAGGUGCACUUGCAGCAGCAGAGGUGAGCUGGGAGGUGAAACCUACUGGGGAGCUGAAAUGAUUUCCUUCGUGAGGGACCAGGGCAUUUCUGUCACCACUUCUGGGUCCAGGAAAUGGCCAUCAUGCUUCUUCCCCUUCUAGCGUAAAACCUGCUGCUGCAAUGCUGGUGAACGGUAGCAACUCAUAACCCCAGCUCCCCUCAGGCCCCUGCAGAGAAGAGCAUGUCCACAGAGAUCGACAGCUGCUGUCCCAUCUGCCUGGACAGCUGGAAGGAGAUCAGCUACAUAUUGCCAUGCCUACACCAGUUCUGUUACACCUGCAUCCUGCAGUGGGCAGAGAAGACACCCAAGUGCCCCCUCUGCAAAAGGAGGAUUCUAUCCAUCUUGCACUCAGUGGGAGCAGAAAAUGACUACAUGGAGCAUGUCAUUGCACUGUCUGAGACAUCAUCCAUCAUUGUCCGUCAGGCAAGAGGAGACCCCAGACACCUUGACCUCCACUUCUCUGGAGCCCCCCAAACGUGGGCUGCAGAAGGAGUGCCCAGGCAUCCUGUGGGCAGCCUCCAGCCUG